Molecule: unclassified non-coding RNA, 311 nt
Filed under: Hevea brasiliensis (rubber tree)
Lineage: Eukaryota; Viridiplantae; Streptophyta; Magnoliopsida; Malpighiales; Euphorbiaceae
Source: RNAcentral
AGAGAAUUCUACAAUCUUCAAGUUCUUGUACUUCAUAAGUAAUUACAUACAUUGUCACCGUUGAGAAUAUGCUCACUCUCUUGACUUCUGUAAGGAUACCAGAACUCGAGAAUAUUGCAAAUUAAAUAAGCCUACAGAUUCGAGUAUCGAUAACAGGCACCUUGGAUGGAGGCUGACCUAUGUCUAGAACUUCUUUCAGUGAUAUCCUGCGAUUCCUCCAAGCAAGUUCUGCCCAGUUCUUCAUCAUCUGUCCUUCAGCCUUUCUAUUCUUUUGGACAUCAAGUAUCUUCGCAUACGCACCUCCAGCUAUG